Molecule: long non-coding RNA, 3435 nt
Organism: Culex pipiens pallens (northern house mosquito)
Lineage: Eukaryota; Metazoa; Arthropoda; Insecta; Diptera; Culicidae
Exons: 3
Source: RefSeq, a predicted model, not a curated record
CACUCCGCGAUAACACACUAAAACGCACAAAAACGAGCUCGAAAAGCAUCAACGCUACUCAUCGUGCCGAGUUUUCACAUAACGCCACCUUAAAGCAAGUUAUCGCAAGUUAACGCGCGUUAAAGCGAGUUAAAGCGGUCAGCGUCUGCUCGACUUUUGAACCAAAGAAAUCGAUCUUGCAACCAUGCCGUCUUGAAUCGAGCAGUUUUUGAUCGUGUUUGGCAACUCGUUUUUUUGUUUUGAUUUUUUUUCCUGCAGUUUUCACGGAGAAAAUAAACACAGCAACCUGUGAGUUUUUUUUAUCGCUAACGAUCGGAAAUGUGGGAAAUGUUUACUUUUGUGUGAAUGUCGGUUUCAGCCCACUCGGUUUCAAAAACGCUGCUGGUUUGUGCCGCUCCGCUGGGAGUCCCCUGGAGCAGAUGGAAUCGUUCCGUUUGCUGGCACCGACGAUGAACGAGUUAAGUUUAAACCCGCGGAGUGGAACUUGCAGAACCGGAACCGGAAAGACAUACAGAGAUUUUUGGACCAUGAGGCAAGAAUUUGCAUCGAGGCCAACCGGACCGAGCGGACUAAGAUCAAAAAGAUGAUGCCCAAGAAGCAGCACUAGAACCGCGUGAAUUAAGAUAAGCUGAUCGAGGAGAAGUACGUGCUGCACAUCAAGAACUCGGUCGAUUAUCACCGACGUACGACGUCGGGGUCAAUCUGCGCAAAAGUGGUGCCACCGGCCGGUGCUUGCUGCCGUAGACACAAAUCCACACCUGAACCGGUCACACUAAGGACAUUUCUGCCAUCCAGUGGUCCCCCAAAAUCGGCCCACCUAUUGCUGUCCUGCAGCAUGGACGACCGGAUCAUUAUCUUGAAGGUUUACUACCAGCGGCAUUGCUUGCGAACCUGCUCGGAGCAGGUCGUGCGGGAGGACUCGGAAUACAAGAGCUUCUGACUAGAAGACCAAUGGGACACACGCAGUCUGAGCUCGGUCAACACGAUCACAUUCGUCGAUGAUAACUGGUGCUUCGUGACAACCUCCGACCGAUCUCUCCUCCGACAACGAAUGCUUGUGAGACAUUCCGGUAGACAUGGAUACGCCGAUCCAACGAUGCCCGCAGGUUAGGCUAUCUACGAACGGCUAGUGGCUCGCCUUCCAGAGCUUGGAAAAUAAGAAUUGUCGUGUUUCUCCUGCUCCUCGCGGAUACUAAUGGCCACAUGGGUGCGUCUAAUGGAGGUCCGCUGUUGAAUCUGGACUUCCGUGAGGACAGCACCAAAAGGAACAGCUUGCCUGGAAUUUAACAAGGGGGGGCAUUCCCGAGCCACCGGCACUCAUUGAAGGGACCAUCCCGCGCAGCGAAGAUGACCUAUCUGCAAGUCCAAAGAUCUGCAAGGUGCUGCAGUUCCGUUGCGCCAAGGUGCCGACCUUCCUAAAACAUGGCCACCAAGAAAAUUCUGCACUUCGCCGAUCCGUACUUCACUUACGGCUACCUCUCGCUCAAGACGAUCCACAGUCCGGCUUCGUCAAGCACCGACAAUGUUGAAUCACGAUCACGGACAACUUUAAGAUUAAGCGCUGGACGCACCCAACCAGCUGGGCAGUAUUCCGAGAAAGAAUCGAGCAGCGUUCAAUAAUGGUGGCAACUCCAAGCUGGACGUUCCCGAGUCACUGGUCUCGCGCAUCAACUUUCGCACCCGAUCCCGCUUCCGAUCUACCACGGCCCCGGUCUGACCCGUUUUCUCCUCGAAUUAAACUGAUGUUUUACAAAAGAAAUCAAAACAGUUAUAAAUAAAGAAUUAUAUAUUUUAUUUUAUUCUGUUCAGUUUCCUUCAGCAAAUGAUUAGUUUGUUAAAAGAAAACGCAUUACUGUCUGUUGCAAUUACAGUACUUUGCGGGGGAGAGCCACCACGCCCGGCAGUUCGACCAGACGUUUCCUCCGCCGUGGACCUUCUGGUGUUUUUGCCGGCUAUUGUUUAAGGAACAUCCGCUUGGCCGAUGUUUGAUCCAAGCUUCACACUUCCAAGAGAAGGUUAGACAGCAGCGACGGAUUAAUCAAGCCCGCGUCCGCGAUAAUUCUUGCGAUUCUUGGGAAUGUGGUACGAGGACACGUGCGGUUCGUUCAGCAACAGUUGACUGCACCGUGUGGAUCGUCCAGAACCCACUAACACAAUCUGUGGCUUCAACUCCUUUCGUGUGAUCGGUGGGCUGCAGGUUUUAGCCCUGCGCAGGUUCAUCGUUACAUCACUGUUGGUAGGCUCUUCGAACCCAACACCCAUCCUGCGAAACAAAGCAAGUCAGUUUUCAUUAAUAUUCCGUCCGGAAGUUGCACUCGAUGAAGCCGGGCUGCUGGUGUCCCUCUUGACCUGCACAACGCGGCGAGAAUCUUGCUUCCUCCACUCCGGGCGCCACCGUUUUUUUGACCACCAUCCUUCCGGUGAUGGAGAAAAAUUGAGCAAAACAAACUGCUCGACUGAUUUGACAACGAGAACUGUCGUUUGCUCUUGACAGUUCUCGCUGUCAAAAAAAAUCGAGCAGUGUGAAGCGAGAACGCAAGAAAAGGCAAGCCAAAAAGCAAGUUAUCGCGGUUAACGCGCGUUAAAGCAAGUUAAAGCGGAAAGGUGAAAGUGAACGCUGCAUAGGUUUGAAAAGGAAUCUUUAUCGCUCGGUUAGCGCGGAAGUGACGUCCCCCUCGAUUAUUUUUAUAAUUUUAUACGAUUUUGAGAUAAUCAAUACCUUGAACAAUCUAUUUUUUGUUUAAGGAAUAUUUACUGGGUAAUUUUUAAUGCACUGUUUUUCCUGAUGUCACUGUCAUUCGACCAUAUUAAGUAAAAUUUGAUCAUUUAAUAUUUAUUUGCAAAUGCUGUAGAAUUUUUAAAAUACAAUUUUCAACAAUUUAUCAUUAUUUGUCUAUUAUUUUUAUAUUUUUCCUAAUUCUUCAUUUAUCAAAUUAUCUUUUAUUUCAUCUUUUAUUUGAAGCGAGUACAAAUGUAGAGCUGGCUGAAGUAGAUGAAAUAAUUCGUAUGGGUUCUAGAGCUUUUGCCAUGUGUGGUAGCGAAAUAGUGCCAUUCAGCAAAACCCCCAAUAUCUGCCUGAAAGAUUGAUCAUACCGAUUUUUUAUAUUGUGAGCCAGUUUCAUCUGAAUAAUUGAUGAUUUUUUUCAAUUCUGGUACAUUUGAUUUCAAAAACAAAACCAUAUACUUCUGAUACAUGUGGGCAGCAGCUGUAUCGUUUUCCAAGAUUUCGAAAUGAUUGAAAAACAAAAAAAGAUUAUUGUUCGGACGGUGUCGAAAUCAACACAACUGAAUUUGAUCUUCAUCAGCGAGAACAAAUGUAGAGCUGGCUGUAGUAGAUGAAAUAGUUCUAGAGCUUUUGCCAUGUGUGGUAGCGAAAUAGUGCCAUUCAACAAAAAUAUCAAAAUCUGCCUUACGGUUUGAAAGAUUGAUCAUAUU